GACCAUGGGAAUGAUAGUUGGGA
This 23-nucleotide non-coding RNA is filed under the name Cricetulus griseus (Chinese hamster). Lineage: Eukaryota; Metazoa; Chordata; Mammalia; Rodentia; Cricetidae. The record is from RNAcentral.